Non-coding RNA from Macaca mulatta (Rhesus monkey), 2177 nucleotides. The record is from RefSeq and is a predicted model, not a curated record. NCBI's taxonomy places the organism in Eukaryota, Metazoa, Chordata, Mammalia, Primates, Cercopithecidae.
AGAGCAUCUGCCAUACUUAAGAAAAUUUCUAUUCAACAGGGAAAAUGUGGUCAUGGGUUGGACAACAAAGGCAAUGAUUGUCCACCAACUAAAACAAAUACCCUGGACCGGGUACAUUGUAAAACAAAACACCAGUCCAAACUUCUGACAUUCCCAACCAGAUUCAUAGGAUUUUAUUUUUUUCUUUUCAGAGAUUAAUGAGAAACAAAAUAAGACACCCAAAUUUAAAGGCAUGCCAGAAUAAUCUUUCUUCUGGGACUCUAGCCAGCUGUAUUUAUGGUCCAUCUCAUGCACAUUUCUCAAUUGAUGGGGAAAUUACACCAAAAGUAAUUUAGAAUUACAAUGGCCAUUAUGUGGGACAUUCCAGAUGAACUUUCAAGAACUGCAUUUUAAGAAGAGAAUUUAAAAUUGGAAGGGGUCGGUCUCUGCAGAGCCAGGAGGGGAAGCGAUGGCUGGGCCCGGGUGGAUCUCCAAGGUCUGUCUGCUGCUGGGGGUAUUCCACAACCCAAAACAGGUGACUAGAGGUUUUACUGAUGUUGUUCAGCCAGUGACUUUAAUUCCAGGAGAUGGUAUUGCCCCAGAAAUUUCAGCUGCAGUUAUGAAGAUUUUUGAUGCUGCCUAAGCACCUAUUCAGUGGGAGGAGCGGAACGUCACUGCCAUUCAAGGACCUGGAGGAAAGUGGACGAUCCCUUUGGAGGCUAAAGAGUCCAUGGAUAAGAACAAGAUGGGCUUGAAAGGCCCAUUGAAGACCCCAAAAGCAGCCGGUCACCCAUCUAUGAAUUUGCCGCUGCGCAAAACAUUGGAGCUUUACACAAAUGUCCGGCCAUGUGUCUCUAUCUAAGGCUAUAAAACCCCUUACACCGAUGUAAAUAUUGUGACCAUUCGAGAGAACACAGAAGGAGAAUACAGUGGAAUUGAGCAUGUGAUCAUUGAUGAAGUUGUGCAGAGUAUCAAGCUCAUCACCGAGGGGGCGAGCAAGCCCAUUGCUGAGUUUGCCUUUGAGUAUGCCCGGAACAACCACCGGAACAAAGUCACGGCGGUGCACAAAGCCAACAUCAUGCGGAUGUUAGACGGGCUUUUUCUACAAAAAUGCAGGGAAGUUGUAGAAAACUGUACAGAUAUUAAAUUUAAUGAGAUGUACCUUGAUACAGUAUGUUUGAAUAUGGUACAAGAUUCUUCCCAAUUUGAUGUUGUUGUUAUGCCAAAUUUGUAUGGAGACAUCCUUAGUGACCUGUGGGCAGGAUUGAUCGGAGGUCUUGGUGUGACGCCAAGUGGCAACAUUGGAGCCAAUGGGGUUGCAAUUUUUGAGUCGAUUCAUGGGACGGCUCUAGACAGUGCAGGCAAGGACAUUGCAGGCAAGGACAUGGCGAAUCCCAGAGCCCUCCUGCUCAGUUCUGUGAUGAUGUUGCGCCACAUGGGACUUUUUGACCAUGCUGCAAGAAUUGAGGCCACGUGUUUUGCUACAAUUAAAGAUGGAAAGAGCUUGACAAAAGAUUUGGGAGGCAAUGCAAAAUGCUCAGACUUCACAGAGGAAAUCUGUCGCCGAGUAAAGAUUUAGAUUAACGCUUCUACAACUGGUAUUUGCAUCAGUCACUCUAAAUGGACCCCACAUAAACCUCUGUUUAGAAUACCUAGGGAUGUAUGCUUUGGUUUACUUGUUUCUUGACAAUACAUUUUUAGAUCUGGCCUUUUCUUAACAAAAUCUGUGCAAAAGAUGCAUGCGGGUGGAUGUCCCUAGGUCUGUUUUCAAAGAACUUUCUCCAAGUGCUUAUUUUGUUUAUUAAGUGUCUACCUGCUAAAUGUUUUUUUUUUUUUUUUUUGUAAAAUCUGAGUGGACUGUAUCAUUUGCUAUUCUAAACCAUCUUACACUUAAGUUAAAAUAGUUUAUCUUCAGCUGUAAAUAUCAGGAUACAGAAUUAACAAGAGAAAAUGUCAAACUUUUUAAGAAAAACCUUGUUUUCUUUGGUUUUUGAAAAACAUAAUGGAAAUAAAACAGGAUAUUGAUGUAAUAGCACAAAAUGACACUCUUAUAAAACUAAAUGGCACAAGAGAAAUUUCCUGGGAAAGUUCACAUCAAAAAGAGUGAAUGUGGUAUAUUUCUAAAUGAAAUGGAAAAUAGAGACAGAUUUGUCCUUCACAGUAGAGUAUGAAUAAAAACUUCACAUCCAAGAAAUAUA